RNAcentral lists this transfer RNA (71 nucleotides) under Phrynosoma platyrhinos (Desert horned lizard). RNAcentral's name for it is "tRNA-OTHER". Lineage: Eukaryota; Metazoa; Chordata; Lepidosauria; Squamata; Phrynosomatidae. The record is from RNAcentral.
GCCAGUGUGGUUUAGUGGUUUGAAUGUUUGACUAUGACUCUGAACACCAGAGUUCAAAUCCCUGCCUGACC